CAGCUGAAGGGAUGGCUAUCAAUACCUCAGUUGCUACACCCGCUAUCUGCAUUUCUUAAUUUGCUACUCUCUCUCUUUUUUUUCUUUUUUUUCUUUUUGCUUUUGAAAAAACCCUAAAUCAAAAUCCUCUAAGAAGAAAGAAGGGAAGAAGGAGGUUUUUGAUAAUGGUGGGAAAUACUGUAAGAAGGAAUGUGGUGGUUGUUGAAGCUAGUUUCUUUGUGGACUUCUCUUUCUU
This 235-nucleotide long non-coding RNA is filed under the name Gossypium barbadense (sea-island cotton). RNAcentral's name for it is "long non-coding RNA (GBAR_LNC023496)". Lineage: Eukaryota; Viridiplantae; Streptophyta; Magnoliopsida; Malvales; Malvaceae. The record is from RNAcentral.